Molecule: long non-coding RNA, 936 nt
Filed under: Homo sapiens (human)
Lineage: Eukaryota; Metazoa; Chordata; Mammalia; Primates; Hominidae
Description: HSALNT0352965
Source: RNAcentral
CACCCAAGUUUACAUCCUCUAACUUUCCCACUACUUAUAAGGUUGCCACACUUCCUGAAUUGCAGGCAUUUCUUCAGUCCUAAACAGAAAAUGCUAGCAUGCCUUGCUACUUUAAGUGGAGGACGAGAGCUUGAUAAUCAUUCCUGGAAUAGUUCACAGAACAAAAUAUUAGAUGGGAAGUUAACUGACGCAGAGGAGAGAGGACCAAAUGGUGAAGUGGUAACAUCACUAUCUACAGAACAACCACCAUGCUGCUAGUGGAUACUGCAAGAAGAGAGAAGCAACAGGAACUAAAGAAAAACAGAAACAUUUUGUGAAGUCUGAUGUGUCCAGAAAAAGGGUUCCUAGGAAUUUCUUGCAGGAUAACUGACUGCUGCAGAAAGAAUACCAGGAAAACGGCUGGACACCAGAACUUCCUUCAGUACUUGCUACACUGGAAAUAGUACAGGUUGGGUCCUACACUGCAACCUAAAAGGAUGUGGGAUCAUGUUGAUUAAUCUGCCAAAGGAUUUGAUCUGGUAUCUUCCAUCAAUGGAGCACGUAAUUGCUGUUUUCUCAUCUUUCUUCUUUUGAAGAAGUAUUAUCGAAAACAGGAUUCAGGGGACAGACAGAUCUGAUUCCAACUCUCAUCUUGCACCACUUAUGGGAUAGGAAGCAUGGUACAUAUUAGGUUUUCCCCUUAAAAUAAACAUAUGAUUAACAUACUACCUGUGAAGCACAGGGCCUGGCAGUGUGUGCAAGUGACAAAUAAAGAAUGGCUAUUACCAUUGUUGUUAUUAUAGAAGACUCAAGGCUUUGUCAAACACAUGUUAUAAAAGGUCAAUGAAGACAGUAGCAUCUUCCUAAUUUACUAAUCUCAAUUGCCAAACCAGCCACAGGAAGUACCCUCUUCAAAUACUGGGGACUUUUUUGAAAGCUAAUGCAAGUCUAAAUACU